Long non-coding RNA from Prunus dulcis (almond), 262 nucleotides. RefSeq lists it as uncharacterized. The record is from RefSeq and is a predicted model, not a curated record. The transcript is spliced from 3 exons. Lineage: Eukaryota; Viridiplantae; Streptophyta; Magnoliopsida; Rosales; Rosaceae.
ACUGCAACCCCGCCAUGUUUUGAUCCAUCCAAAUCCUUGCCCAUUGAAGAUGUGAAGGCAGUACUACAGUUUUGCAGUGCCUGGAAAAGCGAUAUCAGUGCGGAGGUGCAGCUGGAAUCAUUUUCAGUGGGCGCUGAUUUUUUUCUACAGACUUGUCGAUGAAACCGAAUGGAUGAGCUCAAGGCACCUGGACAUGGCAACCUUUCUUAUCCGCAAAAGGCAACUAUCUCAUCCGUUGGUUUUGGGAACGGACUGGACAACG